UACGUAGGGUGCAAGCGUUAAUCGGAAUUACUGGGCGUAAAGCGUGCGCAGGCGGUUUUGUAAGUCUGACGUGAAAUCCCCGGGCUCAACCUGGGAAUUGCGUUGGAGACUGCAAGGCUAGAAUCUGGCAGAGGGGGGUAGUAUUCCACGUGUAGCAGUGAAAUGCGUAGAGAUGUGGAGGAACACCGAUGGCGAAGGCAGCCCCCUGGGUCAAGAUUGACGCUCAUGCUCGAAAGCGUGGGGAGCAAACAGG
This 253-nucleotide ribosomal RNA is filed under the name uncultured bacterium. RNAcentral describes it as "partial 16S ribosomal RNA". It matches the Rfam family "Bacterial small subunit ribosomal RNA", at positions 524 to 776 of the family's 1533-position model. The record is from RNAcentral.